UACGUAGGGGGCAAGCGUUGUCCGGAUUUAUUGGGCGUAAAGCGCUCGCAGGUGGUUCGUCGCGUCGUGCGUGAAAGACCCCGGCUCAACUGGGGGAGGUCGUGCGAUACGGGCGGACUGGAGGCCAGUAGGGGGAUGCGGAAUUCCGGGUGUAGUGGUGGAAUGCGCAGAUAUCAGGAGGAACACCGGUGGCGAAGGCGGGUCUCUGGGCAGUAACUGACGCUGAGGAGCGAAAGCGUGGGGAGCGAACAGG
Molecule: ribosomal RNA, 253 nt
Filed under: uncultured bacterium
Lineage: Bacteria
Description: partial 16S ribosomal RNA
Rfam family: Bacterial small subunit ribosomal RNA
Source: RNAcentral